This 274-nucleotide ribosomal RNA is filed under the name uncultured bacterium. RNAcentral's name for it is "partial 16S ribosomal RNA". It matches the Rfam family "Bacterial small subunit ribosomal RNA", at positions 523 to 796 of the family's 1533-position model. The record is from RNAcentral.
AUACGGAGGGUGCAAGCGUUAAUCGGAAUUACUGGGCGUAAAGCGCGCGUAGGUGGAAUGGUAUGUUGGAUGUGAAAUCCCCGGGCUCAACCUGGGAACUGCACCCAAAACUGCCAAUCUAGAGUGUGAUAGAGGGAGGUGGAAUUUCUAGUGUAGCGGUGAAAUGCGUAGAUAUUAGAAGGAACACCAGUGGCGAAGGCGGCUACCUGGACCGAUACUGACGCUGAGGCGCGAAAGCGUGGGGAGCAAACAGGAUUAGAUACCCCAGUAGUCC